This 253-nucleotide ribosomal RNA is filed under the name uncultured bacterium. RNAcentral describes it as "partial 16S ribosomal RNA". It matches the Rfam family "Bacterial small subunit ribosomal RNA", at positions 524 to 776 of the family's 1533-position model. The record is from RNAcentral.
UACAGAGGGUGCAAGCGUUAAUCGGAAUUACUGGGCGUAAAGCGUGCGCAGACGGUUGCGUAAGUCAGAUGUGAAAGCCCCGGGCUCAACCUGGGAAUUGCAUUUGAGACUGCGUAGCUAGGGUGCGGAAGAGGGAAGCGGAAUUUCCGGUGUAGCGGUGAAAUGCGUAGAUAUUGGGAGGAACACCAGUGGCGAAGGCGGCUACCUGGACCGGUUCUGACGCUGAUGCGCGAAAGCGUGGGUAGCAAACAGG